Molecule: ribosomal RNA, 163 nt
Filed under: Draba ramosissima
Lineage: Eukaryota; Viridiplantae; Streptophyta; Magnoliopsida; Brassicales; Brassicaceae
Description: 5.8S ribosomal RNA
Rfam family: 5.8S ribosomal RNA (bases 1-79)
Source: RNAcentral
AAUCCCGUGAACCAUCGAGUCUUUGAACGCAAGUUGCGCCCCAAGCCUUCUGGCCGAGGGCACGUCUGCCUGGGUGUCACAAAUCGUCGUCCCCAUCUUUUGCGGAUAAGGGACGGAAGUUGGUCUCCCGUGUGUUACCGCACGCGGUUGGCCUAAAUAUGAG